This 88-nucleotide microRNA precursor is filed under the name Mesocricetus auratus (golden hamster). Its description in RNAcentral is "microRNA 181b-2 (ENSMAUG00000006056.1)". It matches the Rfam family "mir-181 microRNA precursor family". From Rfam's summary of the family: In this case the mature sequence comes from the 5' arm of the precursor. The extents of the hairpin precursors are not generally known and are estimated based on hairpin prediction. Lineage: Eukaryota; Metazoa; Chordata; Mammalia; Rodentia; Cricetidae. The record is from RNAcentral.
UGAUGGCUGCACUCAACAUUCAUUGCUGUCGGUGGGUUUGAAUGACAAUCAACUCACUGAUCAAUGAAUGCAAACUGCGGACCAAAAA